RNAcentral lists this ribosomal RNA (253 nucleotides) under uncultured bacterium. RNAcentral's name for it is "partial 16S ribosomal RNA". It matches the Rfam family "Bacterial small subunit ribosomal RNA", at positions 524 to 776 of the family's 1533-position model. The record is from RNAcentral.
UACGUAGGGGGCAAGCGUUGUUCGGAAUUACUGGGCGUAAAGGGCGCGUAGGCGGCACAGCAAGUCGGGAGUGAAAGCCCGGGGCUCAACCCCGGAAUGGCUUUCGAAACUGCUGAGCUAGAGUACAGAAGGGGCAACCGGAAUUCCCAGUGUAGCGGUGAAAUGCGUAGAUAUUGGGAAGAACACCUGAGGCGAAGGCGGGUUGCUGGGCUGAUACUGACGCUGAGGCACGAAAGCGUGGGGAGCAAACAGG